AGACUAUAAAGCUGUACUCAAGUAACAGAGGGAGAGAUGAAUCUUUUGGGACUGCAGGGCAAAGGAUGAGGGUUCCUUGCAGCUCCGCAGAGUGAAGUAGCUUACAACACAGCAUGGUUUGGAAGAUGGAGGUGGGAUUCAAGCAAGAAGAAGCACUUUCAGAUCUGUCACAAUGUACUUCCUUUGUCAUCUAGUUAACGCUUGCAUAUCGAUCUUUGGAGGUGAAAAGCAAAGAAAAUAACCUUUUGGAUCAGCUAUCUCCAAGGAAAGGGAUGUUUGGAUAAUAA
Long non-coding RNA from Rhea pennata, 287 nucleotides. RefSeq lists it as uncharacterized. The record is from RefSeq and is a predicted model, not a curated record. Lineage: Eukaryota; Metazoa; Chordata; Aves; Rheiformes; Rheidae. The transcript is spliced from 3 exons.